AGUGAACGCUGGCGGUAGGCCUAACACAUGCAAGUCGAACGGCAGCACAGUAAGAGCUUGCUCUUACGGGUGGCGAGUGGCGGACGGGUGAGGAAUACAUCGGAAUCUACUUUUUCGUGGGGGAUAACGUAGGGAAACUUACGCUAAUACCGCAUACGACCUACGGGUGAAAGCAGGGGAUCUUCGGACCUUGCGCGAUUGAAUGAGCCGAUGUCGGAUUAGCUAGUUGGCGGGGUAAAGGCCCACCAAGGCGACGAUCCGUAGCUGGUCUGAGAGGAUGAUCAGCCACACUGGAACUGACACGGUCCAGACUCCUACGGGAGGCAGCAGUGGGGAAUAUUGGACAAAGGGCGCAAGCCUGAUCCAGCCAUACCGCGUGGGUGAAGAAGGCCUUCGGGUUGUAAAGCCCUUUUGUUGGGAAAGAAAAGCAGCAGGUUAAUACCCCGCUGUUCUGACGGUACCCAAAGAAUAAGCACCGGCUAACUUCGUG
RNAcentral lists this ribosomal RNA (490 nucleotides) under uncultured bacterium. Its description in RNAcentral is "partial 16S ribosomal RNA". It matches the Rfam family "Bacterial small subunit ribosomal RNA", at positions 29 to 507 of the family's 1533-position model. The record is from RNAcentral.